GACGAACGCUGGCGGCGUGCUUAACACAUGCAAGUCGAACGGAAAGGCCCUGCUUGCAGGGUACUCGAGUGGCGAACGGGUGAGUAACACGUGGGUGAUCUGCCCUGCACUUCGGGAUAAGCCUGGGAAACUGGGUCUAAUACCGGAUAGGAGCCAUUUUUAGUGUGAUGGUUGGAAAGUUUUUUCGGUGUAGGAUGAGCUCGCGGCCUAUCAGCUUGUUGGUGGGGUAAUGGCCUACCAAGGCGGCGACGGGUAGCCGGCCUGAGAGGGUGGACGGCCACAUUGGGACUGAGAGACGGCCCAGACUGCUACGGGAGGCAGCAGUGGGGAAUAUUGCACAAUGGGCGCAAGCCUGAUGCAGCGACGCCGCGUGGGGGAUGACGGCCUUCGGGUUGUAAACUCCUUUCGCUAGGGACGAAGCUUUUUGUGACGGUACCUAGAUAAGAAGCACCGGCUAACUACGUG
This 465-nucleotide ribosomal RNA is filed under the name uncultured bacterium. RNAcentral's name for it is "partial 16S ribosomal RNA". It matches the Rfam family "Bacterial small subunit ribosomal RNA", at positions 28 to 507 of the family's 1533-position model. The record is from RNAcentral.